Molecule: long non-coding RNA, 191 nt
Organism: Amblyraja radiata (thorny skate)
Lineage: Eukaryota; Metazoa; Chordata; Chondrichthyes; Rajiformes; Rajidae
Exons: 3
Source: RefSeq, a predicted model, not a curated record
AACGAACAGUUACACCUGAAAGUGAACUGGCUACAACAUGUCGAGGCACAAAAUGAGGAUCUUCAAGCAAAAUUGGAAGAAUAUGAAGAGCAACACCAGAACAUGCAAGCAGAUUUAGAACAAGCUACCAAGGGACAAACUUCCCAGACAAGUGAAUCUGAAUCUGCAGAGGAACUGCACAGCCGCCUGAU